AGAACGAACGCUGGCGGCAUGCCUAACACAUGCAAGUCGAACGGGACCUUCGGGUCUAGUGGCGCACGGGUGCGUAACGCGUGGGAAUCUGCCCUUAGGUACGGAAUAACUCAGGGAAACUUGAGCUAAUACCGUAUAAUGACUUCGGUCCAAAGAUUUAUCGCCUAAGGAUGAGCCCGCGUAGGAUUAGCUUGUUGGUGAGGUAAAAGCUCACCAAGGCGACGAUCCUUAGCUGGUCUGAGAGGAUGAUCAGCCACACUGGGACUGAGACACGGCCCAGACUCCUACGGGAGGCAGCAGUGGGGAAUAUUGGACAAUGGGCGAAAGCCUGAUCCAGCAAUGCCGCGUGAGUGAUGAAGGCCUUAGGGUUGUAAAGCUCUUUUACCCGGGAUGAUAAUGACAGUACCGGAGAAUAAGCUCCGGCUAACUCCGUGCCAGCAGCCGC
RNAcentral lists this ribosomal RNA (445 nucleotides) under uncultured bacterium. Its description in RNAcentral is "SSU rRNA". It matches the Rfam family "Bacterial small subunit ribosomal RNA", at positions 26 to 518 of the family's 1533-position model. The record is from RNAcentral.